This 249-nucleotide ribosomal RNA is filed under the name Trypanosoma vegrandis. Its description in RNAcentral is "partial small subunit ribosomal RNA". It matches the Rfam family "Eukaryotic small subunit ribosomal RNA", at positions 391 to 631 of the family's 1831-position model. The record is from RNAcentral. Lineage: Eukaryota; Euglenozoa; Kinetoplastea; Trypanosomatida; Trypanosomatidae.
UUAGCCUGAGAAAUAGCUACCACUUCUACGGAGGGCAGCAGGCGCGCAAAUUGCCCAAUGUCAAAAAAAAACGAUGAGGCAGCGAAAAGAAAUAGAGCCGGCAGUGCCACUGGCAUUGCCGUUUUCAAUGGGGGAUAGUUAAACCCAUCCAAAAUCGAGUAUCAAUUGGAGGACAAGUCUGGUGCCAGCACCCGCGGUAAUUCCAGCUCCAAAAGCGUAUAUUAAUGCUGUUGCUGUUAAAGGGUUCGA